This is a long non-coding RNA of Pseudopipra pipra, 1388 nucleotides long. RefSeq lists it as uncharacterized. Lineage: Eukaryota; Metazoa; Chordata; Aves; Passeriformes; Pipridae. The record is from RefSeq and is a predicted model, not a curated record. The transcript has 2 exons.
CGCCGCCAUGUUGGCGCGCGGUGCAGCACGGGCCGGGGCGGCGCCAUUGGCGCCCGGGCGGUGUGAGGGGGCCCUGCCCGGGCCGCGCCCGAGUGCCAGUUUGUGGGUUUUUUGGUUUUGUUUGUUUGGGGUUUUUUUACCAAAACGGCAGCAAACUUUGUGUUUAAAAAUUCUGUUUGAGGAGAACACGGCGGGGGGUUUCUUUCAUAUGAGCCUCCCACCUCUACUUGUCCGCUUUUCACCUCACAUCGCCCCUCAGGUGUGGUGGGGCUUCAUGUCCCCCUCAGGGUGUGCAAAGGGCUCUGCCAUGGCCCCGCCGACGGUGUGAGGGGGCCUCAGCCAUUGUCCCCCCCUCAGGGUGGAAGGGGAUGGGGACAGGGUUCUCCUCAGUGGAAGUAUGAAAGGGGUCUCCAUCUUCUCCCCCUCAGCGUGGCAGAGGUCUGCCCUUGUCCCCGCUGAGAGUGUGAAGGGAGGUCUACCAUGUCCCUACUGAAGAUGUCAAGGACUGGUUCCUCCCAGAGGAACUGAGCACAAAAAAAAAAAAUAUAUAUAUAUAUAUGUAUGUAUGUACGUAUAUGUAUAUAUGUGGUCUGGAGCAUCUCAUGAGAAGAGACUGCAGGAGCUGGGCCUGUCUGGCAGAUGUGACCACCUGCAGCACAUCCUGCAUCCAGCCUCUGAGACACAGUGGCCUUAAGGAGUUCUUGAUGGGGGUCAGAGGACGAAAACUUGGAGACCAGCACAGACUUCCUCUCUUCCUUCUUUUUGGCUUGCCAUUAGAGGUUUGGGGACCACAAGAUAAGUCUCCCACUGUGGGAAAUGUGCUCCAGAAUGUGAAUUUUGUAGCCACUCCCACUUUUCUCCUCUUCAUGUCAAGUGAAAAAUAUGAUUAUUUUACUUGACACAAACAAAUGUAUGUCCAGGAUGGAGGUGGAUCAAAAUACCAUCUUAUAUAUAAAUAAAUAUGUGAAUAUAUGAUAUAUUCAACACAGCAUGGUGUAAAUGUUUGGUAGGAAAAGCAUCAUUUUAGAGAAAUCCCUCAAGGACUCGCCUUCAAAAAGAUUUCAACACUUGGUGUGCUUCACGUGGAAAUGGCUGAGCUGUUUCCUGCUCUGUGGAGCGCUGAGCUGAUGGUCUGGAUCUCCAUCCUAUUUACCAGUGCUCCUUUUUAAAAUUUUAUUUGCAGUUUUAUGAGAACGUUUCUUUGCUGAUAUUCGGGAGGGAGGGAGAAGCCACGUGAGUGACUGACAGGAACUGCUGGAAUGGCUUUGUCUACAGUUCUAGACAACUAUAAAGCUACAUUUCACACAUGAAGGAAAGGUCAAGCGGGGAUAACAUUUUUAUAUCUGUUUUCCUUAAGCGCCAAUAAAUGUUUUAAAUGAUACUAUCGA